GCUGGGCGUGGUGGCGCACGCCUGUAAUCCCAGCUACUCGGGAGGCUGAGGCAGGAGAAUCACUUGAACCCAGGAUGCGGAGGUUGCAGUGAGCCGAGAUCGAGCCACUGCACUCCAGCCUGGUGACAGAGUGAGACUCCGUCUCCA
Pan troglodytes (chimpanzee) is the source of this 147-nucleotide non-coding RNA. It matches the Rfam family "Metazoan signal recognition particle RNA". Rfam says of the family: The signal recognition particle (SRP) is a universally conserved ribonucleoprotein. It is involved in the co-translational targeting of proteins to membranes. Lineage: Eukaryota; Metazoa; Chordata; Mammalia; Primates; Hominidae. The record is from Rfam.